RNAcentral lists this long non-coding RNA (1046 nucleotides) under Equus caballus (horse). RNAcentral describes it as "lncRNA (ENSECAG00000035614.3)". The record is from RNAcentral. Lineage: Eukaryota; Metazoa; Chordata; Mammalia; Perissodactyla; Equidae.
UGACAACCCCCCAUCCAGAGGAGAGUGAAAUUGCUCUCUACGAUUUGGACAGGUCAUGAAAAGCUAUCUCUAGAAAUUUUUGAAACCUUAUAUUUCAUUUCAAAAAUGAGUGCGAUUUUGCAUUUCUACCGCAAAAUAUAUCUCAGCCACAUACCGUUGGACCUAAUGUGACCAGCUGGCCCCAGGUGUGUCCAGACACACAACUUUGGACAUAUUAGGAGAAAUGAUCAGACUUCAGAAGGCCAAACCCAGCCCCUCCUGCUCUUGUGGCCGUGUCUCUUCCAGGUUUCUUGCCCUCUGUUUUUCUGGAACCCUGAGGGAUUUUACACAUGUUCCCUAAUGCUCCAUUCUCACAAGCCCGGGGUCCUCUCACCCCCUCUCACCCCUAAGUUUGUCCCUAAGUUCACUGAGUCAACAGCCUCGCAUGGGGGCAGGGUCCAGACAGCACCUCUUUCUCUUCCUGCAUUUCUUCAGGAGCCAGAAAGGGAUGGGGGUGUCUCUCCUAAAUUGUAUCAAUGUCUGGCAGCUCCGUAAGCCCUGUGUUCUGUCAUCUCAGGUCACUCUGCUGGCCUUGGGCCCCUCUCUGUCCUGCUGACCAUUCUGGUCUGGGCCCUGGGGAAAGGGCUUUCCUUUGUUGUGUCACAGAAGAGCUCCCAGCAGAGCGCAGCUUUCGCGUCUCUCCUGCAUAUCUCGGCCCUCUGCUUCCAGCAGGCAGGCUCUCCCGGACUCAGGGACUCCAUGGUCCUCCACAGCCUGGCUGUCGUCAGGGUCUCCGCUCUUUAGUGGCCGUUCAGAAAGUGUCACUCUGAACAUAAAGACAAAGCUAGUCUUCAGGAGUGGAAGUGAGGGGCAGCUGAUAAGUCUCAGCUCUGACCCAGCCAAGACACCUUAGUGGGUGAAAGUCCCCCUCUGUGCCGUGUUGAUGGAGCUUGUGUCUCUCAUCUUUGUUUUUCAAAUACAAUGGCUACAGGAAGUGCUCAACAGAAUUUUUUUUUUACAUAAUUGAGUGGAUGGAUGGAGGCAUGAGCCUCUACAUGCAAAAACAG